RNAcentral lists this long non-coding RNA (3243 nucleotides) under Cricetulus griseus (Chinese hamster). RNAcentral's name for it is "lncRNA (ENSCGRG00015040278.1)". Lineage: Eukaryota; Metazoa; Chordata; Mammalia; Rodentia; Cricetidae. The record is from RNAcentral.
GAGUGGGUGGGGAAAGCGCUUCGGGUGAGGAGUUGCAACUCUGGCGAGAAGUUGUGAGAAAAUUGUGAUCCGGAGACACCUUUUACAAACAAAAACAAAUGACUAGGUGGGAAACCGCGGGGCUCCCGCAGCUGGGGGAGGUGGUAGCAGCGGGGGACUGCACCUUGGCUGCAGGGGAGGGAGGCGUGCAGCGCGAUGGCAGAGUAGCCUGGCUCCCAGACCUUCCCUUUUCUGGGCUUCGAGCUAGUUCGUUUCUUCAGACAUCAGCGGACCACACCUACCAAAGUACACUCUUUAGGGAUAAAACACGUUCCUAAUUUUGCCGGCGUUAUAAACUUAUGGUGGCCGCCUACGAGGGCGGGGGCGAAUCUGCCUGGGCGUGGGAGUCUAUGCUGGUCCUGAGGGCUUGAACUUUUAAGUCAUUCUGGAUCCCAGGAGCACUCAAGUUAACUGUAGCGACUGCUUUUUUUCUUAAGCUUAACCCAAAUUGAUCUCAAAGCUGUGCUACUUUUACUAUCUAUUUGGGGGGUUUGCUAGGAAGGUCCAUUUGAUCAAAUUUUGGGAAAAAUAAGGGUGUCACUGCAGCCAUAUCUAGAUGGCAUUUCAGAAUCUGCCUUUUGAGUUACUUCUUCUAUACACCUGGCAGAUCUUCCACAGGGCUCCAUUAGGAGAAAAGGGCGCGGAAACGCAGUUGGACUGGCAGUGAAUCCGGGUCCACACACAGAAUACCCUCUUCCAGCGAAGAGAGAAGCAGCUGCCACGAAUUUGGCUUGUGUUGAAUGGCAUUGUUAGUUUUUAGGGCUAUGCCAACGCCCCCCUUCCUGCUUUCUCUUGCACCUACCAGCAACCCCGAAGCUCUUCAACAGCUCUGCCUUCCUACCGGCAAGAUCUCUGGUUUGUAAACCCAAUCCGCCAAGGCCUUCCUCACUCGCCUCCUCGGCGAUCUGCCCUCCAACCCCCACCUCUGAGCAGCAGACCUCAGUGCAUUCUCCGUACCUCAGUCCACAUACACUCUCGCUUGGAGCAGCUGUGGAGCAAAGCUGGUUAGCUCUCACACAACAACCCCUCUCCUGUUUUUUUUUUCUAGGCUUAGACUCAGGGUUGAGCAGGGGUUAGAAGGCGACCCUCCCACCUAUCAGGAGGGCUCUUCGGGUUCCGACUGGGUGUCGGGAUCUUCCUGCGGACCCGACACUUCCUAGAACAAGUCGACUAGUAUCAAGAAUUCUGGCACACACACAUCCCCACCCCGGACGUGUCAAGUGCGGCGGAGUGCCAGAACCCCUAUUACCCCGACUCCCAAGCGGCUGCCAAAAAGAAGGGACCUUCAGUCCCCAAGCUCUCCACCCCCAACUGUUCCAGAACUAGCUGCUAUCACCCUGGACUCAACCGCCCCUCUCAGGAGCCUGUAGUCGUCCAGGUCCCCGGUGGCUCACACUCGGAGCAGCUGGGCUACUUCACAUGUAAAGCAGAGGGGCCCGGGAGGGGGCAACUAAGGAACUGUUGUGGCGGGAACCUGUAGGGCGCCCUUGGACUCCGUUGCCCGCCUUUUCCGACUCGCAUCUUCCUUCGGUAGUCGGGGAGAAGUUGUUUUACUGAUUUGGGGCGUAACGACGUUGAGGCCAAGGUAUGGGAGAAAGGGCUUCUUUUAGAGGAUGGGAGUUGGGCGAAGACAGGACACUGGUUCUAGAGCAUAGUGUUCUGUAGGUCUCGGUGUCCAGAUGCUGAAGAAAACCGGCCGAGGAGCUAAUUCCGGCUUCUGGAAUGCGAGUAUGUCAACGAGCAAGAGCAAUGCAAGGCAUGUCUCUUGGCUCCUUGAUUCUGUUUAAAAUCCAUAUUUAACACUUCUGCGGUGACAGCACACAGGACUAACGGUUUCUUUUUUCCCACCGUUUCCAUUGAGCUCUUAUUUUGAAAAUGUAAUCAGUAGUGGAGACAAGGAGAGAAAACUGAGCCAGCAUUCUAAAUCCGACAUCUCUGAAUCCACUGUGUAUACAUGACCUCUGAAGAAGAUUCCCAACCUUCCCUCCUCACCUACACCACCAGGCAGUCCACGAUCUCAAGUACACCCGUUUUACUACCAUCCAUCCUUCAAAGUCACAUAGACCCUCAGCCACUUACACCCCGGCGGCUGUCCUGACAUUCAAUUUGGACGGCUGGCCAUCAUUCAGCGAUCACAAAAUCCCCUCCACCCGACUCCCAAGGCACCGCAAGAAAAGGCCCCAGAGGGCCCAGAUAGUGGCUUCCACAGUCGAGGUUUGUCUUCCUAGAAUCAGCUCGAAUAGAGAGAGAUCUUUCCCUCCAUUCCAGCCUUCCCUGCUCACACACCCACUGAUCUCCCUUGCCUCCUGGGUCCGGAGCCCUUGAACCCAUAUCCUUCACACCCCAUACCCUAGUAUGGAGUGUUUCCCACCAACCAGGGGCUGUUACCGUUCUUUCUUAGUCACUGUGGGUUGCUAUUCAAUUCCCAGAGCAGCCGCUUCCUCCCUCCUGUCCAGACCAUGAUCCCCAGAAAAGGGCCGAGCCACAGUAGGCUUCAAGGGCUGCCAGUCACAAAACCCGGUACAUCCAGCAGCAUAGGUCAAGAGGGGAGGAAGGAAGGGGCCAGCUAGAUGCACUUUGGACCCUUGCCGUCUGGAAACCACACAAACUCAGCACAGACCUGUGAAGAUCCAGUUUAUGCAACUCUCAGGGAACAGCUGGAUCCAAUCCUGCCUCCUUCCCUUCCCCUCUCUCGUGCUCUUAAUAAUGCAGUACUUUCUAGUUUAUAUCGCAGUCUCCCCUAAACUGCAUAGUAGAAAGAGGAGACAGAUUUUUUAGUUUUUACACUUUCCCAGACAGGAACCCCAAUCCAAGCAAGGACGCCUGCUCCUGAGAAGUUGCUCCAGAGCGCGCUUGGCUCCUGGGGGGCAGAGCUUGGGCAAUGGUAGGGGAUGGACAGCGGAGUCAAGAAAGGGCAGUAUUCUUCAGGAUGCCACGAUGUGCACCUGGCCUCGAUGCAGAGGCCUCCUAGCAAAGUGUGAAGGGACGGCCCUCCUCCAGGGUUGAAGAAAGAAAGCAAAGAAGGGGAGCCCAAGGAAAGGUGGGGCCAGUUGGGAUUUUUAGAUAACACUCUUCUGGUAUGCUUCUCAUGUGUUGUAUGUUAUAAUCUCCAAAUUUCACAUUUAUUGUGGUAACCUGCAGUGUGUAGUCACCAGCCAAAUGCAGCUUGGCCAAAACAGUGUUAAAUAAAACUGUAAGAAAUGC